CAAUAGCGUAUAUUAAAGCUGUUGCGGUUAAAAAGCUCGUAGUUGGAUUUCUGUCGAGGACAACUGGUCCGCCCUCCGGGUGAGCACAUAGUUUGGUCUUGGCAUCUUGCUGGAAACUGUUGCUGCACUUGGCUGUGUGGCGCAGCGUCCAGCACUUUCACUUUGAGGAAAUUGGAGUGUUUCAAGCAGGCACAUGCCUUUGGACACAGUAGCAUGGAAUAAUUAGAUUGGGCUUUUGCUCCAAUUUGUCGGUUUCUGGAGCUGAGGUGAGAAUUAAUGGGGAUUGUUGGGGGCAUCCGAAUUUAGCCGUCAGAGGUGAAAUUCUUGGAUCUGCUAAAGACGGACAACUGCGAAAGCGUUUGCCCAGGAUGUUUUCAUUGA
Molecule: ribosomal RNA, 381 nt
Filed under: uncultured eukaryote
Lineage: Eukaryota
Description: partial 18S ribosomal RNA
Rfam family: Eukaryotic small subunit ribosomal RNA
Source: RNAcentral